RNAcentral lists this transfer RNA (74 nucleotides) under Gadus morhua (Atlantic cod). Its description in RNAcentral is "tRNA-Val (TAC) (tRNA-Val-TAC-8-1)". It matches the Rfam family "tRNA". Rfam says of the family: Transfer RNA (tRNA) molecules are approximately 80 nucleotides in length. Their secondary structure includes four short double-helical elements and three loops (D, anti-codon, and T loops). Further hydrogen bonds mediate the characteristic L-shaped molecular structure. tRNAs have two regions of fundamental functional importance: the anti-codon, which is responsible for specific mRNA codon recognition, and the 3' end, to which the tRNAs corresponding amino acid is attached (by aminoacyl-tRNA synthetases). tRNAs cope with the degeneracy of the genetic code in two manners: having more than one tRNA (with a specific anti-codon) for a particular amino acid; and 'wobble' base-pairing, i.e. permitting non-standard base-pairing at the 3rd anti-codon position. Lineage: Eukaryota; Metazoa; Chordata; Actinopteri; Gadiformes; Gadidae. The record is from RNAcentral.
GCUCCAGUGGUGCAAUCGGUCAGCGCGCGGUACUUACAAUGCCGAGGCUGUGAGUUCAAGCCUCACCUGGAGCA